This 497-nucleotide ribosomal RNA is filed under the name uncultured bacterium. Its description in RNAcentral is "partial 16S ribosomal RNA". It matches the Rfam family "Bacterial small subunit ribosomal RNA", at positions 28 to 507 of the family's 1533-position model. The record is from RNAcentral.
GAUGAACGCUGGCGGCGUGCCUAAUACAUGCAAGUCGAGCGAACAGAUGAGGAGCUUGCUCCUCUGACGUUAGCGGCGGACGGGUGAGUAACACGUGGAUAACCUACCUAUAAGACUGGGAUAACUUCGGGGAACCGGAGCUAAUACCGGAUAAUAUAUUGAACCGCAUGGUUCAAUAGUGAAAGACGGUUUUGCUGUCACUUAUAGAUGGAUCCGCGCCGCAUUAGCUAGUUGCUAAGGUAACGGCUUACCAAGGCAACGAUGCGUAGCCGACCUGAGAGGGUGAUCGGCCACACUGGAACUGAGACACGGUCCAGACUCCUACGGGAGGCAGCAGUAGGGAAUCUUCCGCAAUGGGCGAAAGCCUGACGGAGCAACGCCGCGUGAGUGAUGAAGGUCUUCGGAUCGUAAAACUCUGUUAUUAGGGAAGAACAAAUGUGUAAGUAACUAUGCACGUCUUGACGGUACCUAAUCAGAAAGCCACGGCUAACUACGUG